This 245-nucleotide ribosomal RNA is filed under the name uncultured Porphyromonadaceae bacterium. RNAcentral's name for it is "partial 16S ribosomal RNA". It matches the Rfam family "Bacterial small subunit ribosomal RNA", at positions 524 to 769 of the family's 1533-position model. Lineage: Bacteria; Pseudomonadati; Bacteroidota; Bacteroidia; Bacteroidales; Porphyromonadaceae. The record is from RNAcentral.
UACGGAGGAUGCGAGCGUUAUCCGGAUUUAUUGGGUUUAAAGGGUGCGUAGGUGGUUUGUUAAGUUUGUGGUGAAAGCGUGCGGCUCAACCGUACCAAGCCAUGAAAACUGGCGAACUUGAGUGCAAACGAGGUAGGCGGAAUGUGAUGUGUAGCGGUGAAAUGCUUAGAUAUGUCACAGAACCCCGAUUGCGAAGGCAGCUUACCAGCAUGCAACUGACACUGAGGCACGAAAGCGUGGGUAUC